Jaculus jaculus (lesser Egyptian jerboa) is the source of this 457-nucleotide long non-coding RNA. RefSeq lists it as uncharacterized. NCBI's taxonomy places the organism in Eukaryota, Metazoa, Chordata, Mammalia, Rodentia, Dipodidae. The transcript is spliced from 3 exons. The record is from RefSeq and is a predicted model, not a curated record.
AGCACUGGAGUAAGAACAACAAGAAGUCUGGGUCUUCUACUAGCCCUGGAGACGAUGCAGUAGAUCUCCCCAGGUGUUUAGGUUAUUCAGUUUCUUUCAAACAGCAAAGGAGGAAGACUGAUGAUCCACAUGUGCAAGCAGCCUGACGGUCAGUCUGUGGGCUCUGACAUUGAGCUGCUGGGAUUCAGUUCCACCUGUGCUUCUUCCAGGCUAGUGAACUUGACAUUUUUAAAAUUUAAGGCCAAGGAAGCAAAAGCGUCAACACUCACGGUGGGCUGGAUCCCAUUUUGGCUGCCAGCUCUCAGGACAGCAGAGCGCCUACAAGGUCCCAUGUAAGCCAGACACACACCAUGAUGCAAGCACAGAAGAUUGCACACGCACACAAGAUGCUGCACAGGCCUGGAGUGCAGUUGUGGUGGCUGGAGUCCCUGGCACACCAAUUCCCUCACUUUCUCUC